GAAGAAACUCUCCAUGAGAGAAUGAGUUUUGGAGCAAGGGGGAAUGGAAAAAAUGACAGAGAAAAUAAAUGUCUGCUGCUUCUGCGUGAUGUCUACAAAAACAUGUGAACAUCUGGAGGAAAUUUCCAUAUGGGUCUCGAUGAACUAUUGGCUGGAGUUAGGAUGCUUUCAUAUGAGCAGCAUCUCUCAGGUGAGAUUCGGAGUUUCAGAAGCUGGAGCUUAUGGAAUUCCCCAAUCUCGUCGACGAGCCAGCAUCUCCUGACGAGACGCUCCUCGAAUGGCAUGUUUUUGCAGGCCUAGAGCUUAGAGUCAAUAACUAUGCUGCUGUUCGCAGUACAGCAACUGGUGGGCCAUUCCGUGCAAUAACUGUCAGAGACGCGAUUGGGGAUCUCCCAAAUAUUGGCAAUGGGGCUUGUGAAACAACCAUGGAGUACCCAAGAGAAGCUUCAUCUUGGUACCAAAGGAAGUUUCGAGGAGAUAUGUCAAUCCUAACAGAUCAUAUCUCCAAGAAAAUGAACGAGCUGAAUCUCAUCCGAUGUAAAAAAAUUCCAAAAUUUCGAGGAGAUGUCAAUCCUAACAGAUUUCAUCUCCAAGAAAACGAAUGAGCUGAAUCUCAUCCGAUGUAAAAAAAUUCCAAAAUUUCGAGGGGAUAUGUCAAUCCUAACAGAUCAUAUCUCCAAGAAAAUGAACGGGCUGAAUCUCAUCCGAUGUAAAAAAAUUCCAAAAUGACCAGGAGCUGAUUGGCAUGAGAUCAAGAAUGGAAAGGUUUUUCUGUUCAUAGGGCAAAUAGCUAAACUAACACCUCCUUGGCUGCUGAACUUGGCCAAAAGGCAUAAUCAGUGGAAAGGUACUUUGAAGGUUGGACUGGGUAGGACAUUUUUCCAACCUCUAUUACAGAUCCUCAACCAAUGGGUAUGGUUGGAAUGUGUUUUCACCCAGAUCAGGACAGGAUACUUUUUGUUCGGGAAUGUGCUCAAACUCAAGUGAGAUCUGGUAUUGAAAAAGGCUGGGGUCUAAGGACUGCCUCUCCUGAAGAAUUUUUCCCUUGAAUGACAUGAAUCAGACCAUGUUUUUGCAGGCUGAGAGCUUAUUGUCGUGUGAUCUGGAAGUUUCCAGUACUUCAAUCGGUGCUCCUUUCUGCGCAAUGGCCAUUAGAAGAAAAACAAUCAGGAUCUCCUAGAUGUUGGAAUGAUUGGUGGAUAUGCUUGAACUAAUACGAUCACACUGCAAAGGAUAUAGCAGUCACUGUUGAUCAAAAUUGUGAGAUUAAGCCAUCAUAUUAUAGCAGCUCCAGGUUGUCAUCCUCUAGGACAGCUUGAAUAUGGUAGCCAAAAAGUGAGGUAGGGAAAGGGAAUGAGUGGUGCAUGGCAUGAUGUAUGAAAAUAAUGAAUGAUGAAGAAAUAAAAGAUUGAUUGAGUU
Molecule: long non-coding RNA, 1419 nt
Organism: Vitis riparia (riverbank grape)
Lineage: Eukaryota; Viridiplantae; Streptophyta; Magnoliopsida; Vitales; Vitaceae
Exons: 6
Source: RefSeq, a predicted model, not a curated record